This 521-nucleotide ribosomal RNA is filed under the name uncultured bacterium. RNAcentral's name for it is "bacterial SSU rRNA". It matches the Rfam family "Bacterial small subunit ribosomal RNA", at positions 391 to 903 of the family's 1533-position model. The record is from RNAcentral.
GCCAUGCCGCGUGAGUGAAGAAGGCCUUCGGGUUGUAAAGCUCUUUCGGCCGGGAAGAAAUCGUGUUCUCUAAUACCCGACGUGGAUGACGGUACCGGACUAAUAAGCACCGGCUAACUACGUGCCAGCAGCCGCGGUAAUACGAAGGGUGCGAGCGUUAAUCGGAAUUACUGGGCGUAAAGGGUGCGUAGGCGGUUUGUUAAGACAGAUGUGAAAUCCCCGGGCUCAACCUGGGAAUUGCGUUUGAGACUGGAAGGCUGGAGUGCGGUAGAGGGGGGUGGAAUUCCCGGUGUAGCAGUGAAAUGCGUAGAUAUCGGGAGGAACAUCGAUGGCGAAGGCAGCCCCCUGGACCAGCACUGACGCUCAGGCACGAAAGCGUGGGGAGCAAACAGGAUUAGAUACCCUGGUAGUCCACGCCCUAAACGAUGCGAACUGGAUGUUGGGCUCACUUAGGAGUUCAGUAUCGAAGCUAACGCGUUAAGUUCGCCGCCUGGGGAGUACGGUCGCAAGGCUGAAACUCA